UGGUAGUCCACGCCGUAAACGGUGGUAACUAGAUCUGGGUUUCCUUCCUUGGGAUCCGUGCCGUAGCUAACGCAUUAAAGUACCCCGCCUGGGGAGUACGCACGCAAGGCUUAUACUCAAAGGAAUUGACGGGGGCCCGCACAAGCGGCGGAGCAUGUGGAUUAAUUCGAUGCAACGCGAAGAACCUUACCUGGGUUUGACAUGCACAGGACGCGUCUAGAGAUAGGCGUUCCCUUGUGGCCUGUGUGCAGGUGGUGCAUGGCUGUCGUCAGCUCGUGUCGUGAGAUGUUGGGUUAAGUCCCGCAACGAGCGCAACCCUUGUCUCAUGUUGCCAGCGGGUAAUGCCGGGGACUCGUGAGAAACUGCCGGGGUCAACUCGGAGGAAGGUGGGGAUGACGUCAAGUCAUCAUGCCCCUUAUGUCCAGGGCUUCACACAUGCUACAAUGGCCGGUACAAAGGGCUGCGAUGCCGCAAGGUUAAGCGAAUCCUUUUAAAGCCGGUCUCAGUUCGGAUCGGGGUCUGCAACUCGACCCCGUGAAGUCGGAGUCGCUAGUAAUCGCAGAUCAGCACG
This 571-nucleotide ribosomal RNA is filed under the name uncultured bacterium. Its description in RNAcentral is "bacterial SSU rRNA". It matches the Rfam family "Bacterial small subunit ribosomal RNA", at positions 788 to 1356 of the family's 1533-position model. The record is from RNAcentral.